Molecule: small nucleolar RNA, 139 nt
Organism: Juglans regia (Persian walnut)
Lineage: Eukaryota; Viridiplantae; Streptophyta; Magnoliopsida; Fagales; Juglandaceae
Product: small nucleolar RNA Z247
Exons: 1
Source: RefSeq, a predicted model, not a curated record
CAACUUCACGAGAUUGAUAUCAUCUCCUAUCUUCUUGCUGGUUUGGAUUCCAGUUAUGAUCCGUUGGUUGCUUCCAUCACCACUUGAGUUGAUCCUCUAUAUUUGGAGGAUAUCUAUAGUAACAUGCUCAGUUUUGAGC